UCUUCCUUUUAGUUUUAACGGGGGGAAACUUUCUCGAGGCUAUGAUCGCGGCGCGGCGAUCGAAUGCCGUGGAAGCGCUUGCUCGUCGCCACCGCCAGCAUCGAUUUCCUCCGCCGCCGCUGGAUCCACUCGAGCUCUGCGAGAAUAUUUUCCAGCGAGGCGCUGGAAUCGGUGCUCAACCAGAUCGAGCAGGGCCAUCUCACGGUGAAAUUCGCGGAUUCCUACGCCGAUCUCAUCCGCCGCUGCUGUGAUUCGGGGUCCCUGGAUCUUGCCAGGCGGCUCCACGCACAGGUCGUGAUCGCGGGGCACGGCGAGAGCUCCUACAUCGCAGGGCUGCUCGUCCAUCUCUACGUCAAAUGCGGGGAUCUGGAGGGCGCGUGGCGCGUCUUCGAUGCGAUCGCCGUCAAGAACCGGGCGGUGCUGUGGAAUAUCUUGAUCGGGGAGUACGAUCGCAUCGGGGAUGGAUGCCGCGCGCUGGAUCUCUACAAGAGGAUGGAGGCGGAGCCGGACAAGGUCACGUUCGUGCUGGCGCUGCGCGUGUGCGCGGGGCUGAGGAGCCUCGGCGAAGGUAUGGCUGUUUACGAGCGAUUGUGUUCUUCGAUUCAUCUCAAGCACGACAUCAAAUUGCAGAAUGGAGCAAUCAGCAUGUUUGCGAAGUGUGGCGCCUUGGAUCUGGCAGUCCGGGUUUUUGAUCAGAUGCCGGAGAGGGACGUGGUAUCAUGGAACUCGAUCAUCACAGCAUUUGCCCACUCAGGGCAUUCCCUGGAGUGCGUUCAUUUCUACCACCGAAUGCUGCUCGAGGGAUUCCGGCCGAAUGGAGUGACCUUCUCUGGUGUCGCUAGCUCUUGCUCGGGCAGAGAAGAGCUCGAUACGAUCCAAGCAUCCAUCGCCGCCAGCGACUUCCACAGCAACGUGGUUGUGAAGAACUCGCUCGUUUCGGCCUAUACGAGGAGUGGGGACUUGAGAUCCGCGAGAAAGGUGUUUGAUAGCAUUGAGGACAAGGAUCUCAUAUCCUGGAACUCGAUGGUGGUGGCGUAUUCCCAGCACGGUCACGGUGAGGAGAUGCUGGAGCUCUUCCGGAAGAUGGACGUGGAGCCCGACUCUAUCACUUACGCGAGCAUCCUCGGGGCUUGCUCGGCGAUGGAGCUGCUAGAACUUGGGAAGGAAGUUCAUGCUCGGGUGUCGAGGAGCCGGUUUAAGUCGGAUCCAGCGCUGGCGGCUGCUCUCAUCAACAUGUACUCCAAGUGUGGAGUGCUGGAGAGUGCCAGAAGAGUUUUUGACGGGAUCCAGUCGGUGGAUCCUUCGCCGUGGAAUGCAAUGAUCUCGGGGCUUGUUCAGCACGGGAGAGCUCGAGAGGCUCUUGGGCUUUUUGAAAGGAUGAAGGCCGAGAGCGUUCGGAUCGACAAAGUCAGCUAUCUCACCAUCCUCAGUGCUUGCUGCGCCUUGGAAGAUCUACACGAAGGCAUCAGGAUCCACGAGCAUGCUUCUGCGUGUGGGAUGGGCAAAGACUUGGUGGUGGAAACUGCGGUGUUCAACAUGUACUCCAAGUGCCGCCAAGUCGACUUAGCUCGGAAGAUGUUCGAUGGGAUGAACGAGAAGACUGUGAUUUCUUGGAACGUGAUGAUCGCAACGUACUCCCAAGCUGACGACAAGCUUCUCAAUCGGCAAGGACUAGAUUUAUACGGAUUGAUGGAGGCUGAAGGCGUUCAAGCCGACGAGAGAACUUUCAUCCACUUGCUGAGUGCCUGCGUCAACUUGGGAGCAGUGGAAGAGGCUCGAGCUAUUCACAAGAGAAUCCUGGCGAGCGGAUGCAAGGCAAGUGAGGUUUUGGAGACGGCAAUAGUCACCAUGUACGCAAGGUUCGACAUGCUGGAGGCUUCGAGGAGUAACUUCGAUAGGAUGGAGAAGAAGUCCGUGACUGCGUGGAACGCGAUGAUCUCAUCGUAUGCUCAGCACGGCCAGGCCAGCAAGUCGCUUCUACUUUUCCAUCAGAUGAGUUUGGAGGGUGUAAAGCCGGAUGCCAGAACUUUCGUCAGUGUUAUUGGAGCGUGCUCAAGCCUCCAGGCGCUUGAGAAAGGCAGAGCGGUGGAGGAACAGGCAACCUCUAUGGGAAUUGAGGAAGGAAGGACUGCGCUUUUGAGCUUGUACGCCAAGUGUGGAAAUUUAGAGGCCGCAAGAGAUAUCUUCGACAAGCUCAAGUAUAGAAAGAACGUGGUUUCUUGGAACUCCAUGAUAGCUGCUUAUGCUCAGAGUGGACGCGGCAGGGAAGCUCUAGAACUAUACGAGCUGAUGAAAGAAGAGGGGGUCCAGCCAGAUGAUAUAACUUAUGCUGGUGCUCUUGGAGCAUGCACUAGCUAUGGUGGAUCAGCCAAAGGAGUAGAGAUACACUCAAGAAUAACGGAGAGCAAGAUCAGGACGGACGUCUUCCUCGACACUGCGAUUGUCAACAUGUAUGCGAAGUGUGGAGAACUGGAGACCGCCAUGAGCUACUUCGAGAAGAUGCGAAGGAAGAAUGCUGUUACUUGGUCCGCAAUGGUGGGAGCAUUCAUCCAACACGGCUACGAUAGAGAAGCUCUAGAUCUGUACCUAAGGAUGGUCUCAGAAGGAUUUCAGCCGAGUGAAAUCACACUUGCCGGGGCCUUAGCAGCGUGCUCGAGGAUCGGUGCUCUCCAAGAAGGAAAAGCUAUACAUUCGAGGAUACAGGCAACGGAGACGCUCCAAAACUGCCUCUUUCUUCAAAACUCGCUGCUCAACAUGUACGCGAAGUGCGGCUGCCUCGCCAUCGCAAACACCAUGUUCAGCAAUCUCCAAAGGAGGGACUCGUUCUCGUGGAACACGAUCAUAGUCGGGCAUGCACACCAUGGAGACGUGGACGAAGUUCUCAGCUUGCACGGCGAGAUGGUACAGGACGGUGUCGACCCGGACUAUGUCACUUUCGCCUGCGUUCUACUCGCGUGUAGCCAUGCGGGCCUGCUCGACAGAGGAAGGAGCCACUUCCUGUCUAUGGAGAUGGAGUUUGGAGUGGCCCACGACACCGAGCAUUAUCUCUGCAUGGUCGAUCUUCUUUCUCGAGCCGGACGAGUUGAGAGUGCUGAAGAGCUCGUCCACAGUAUGCCGUAUGAGCCUCCAGCCAUGGGCUGGACUACUUUGCUCGGCUCUUCCGAGGUGCAAGCUGAUCUCGAUAGAGGGUCACGCUAUGCCGAAGUUGCUGCUGGUCUGGAACCGGGCAGCAGUUCUUCCUACGUGUUGCUCUGGAACAUUUACAGCCGCAGCAAGACGGACGCUUCCGGCCUGGAGCAUUUGUUUUUAUAACACUGCCAAAGGCGGAUGUGUGUUCUGGGAGUGUUGGAAUCACCAGGACUUGUUGCAAGGUCAAUCAUAUGACGUUUACUUAGAUGGGAUGCUGGAGGACACUGGACGAAGCUGUCGAGCAGCUACACCAGCACGAGCCAGGAAAGCUUUUCGGUGC
This is an RNA transcript of Selaginella moellendorffii, 3469 nucleotides long. It is a transcript of the gene named pentatricopeptide repeat-containing protein At5g27110, with no coding region annotated. The record is from RefSeq and is a predicted model, not a curated record. Lineage: Eukaryota; Viridiplantae; Streptophyta; Lycopodiopsida; Selaginellales; Selaginellaceae. The transcript has 3 exons.